UGAAAAUUACACGGUGAUGCAGUUUUUCCUCGAGACUACGAUAUUAAACCAAACAUUGGGUUCACGGAUCGAUUUCGGCCGUUGUCCUUGGUCAAUAACUAUGGGCUAUACGGUAUCUGUGAUCGUAUAUAUUACGGUUAACGAAGAUUCGGUAUUAUAAAGGACGUUCUCGACCGGAUAGAUUGGAAAGCUCUCCUCUCAUUCGUGCCGCAUACAGAGAUACUCAAAAACUUCGGAACCGUGCCGAAAAAUCGUCGCAGGAUGUAAAACAGAUCGGGCAAGUGAGAGGUCAUUAAACUGGCAACCUUCCAGGAAGCAAUCGAUUGUCGUUGUUAAACAACUACAGGGAAAUUUUCGGAUAUUAUGAUACCUUUUUUCUUACGAUUCUGAUAUGCAUAACUCAUUUAUAUAUGUAAACCAUUUCCUACUAGUCCGGUAUAUAAAUUAUAAACUUUAAUAGUUCAUAAAUGGAAUAUACAAUUUGAUAGUUGUUUAUACGAAUCGACAUUUUUGAAAAAAAGAUUUGUUAUUUGAAAAUAAAAAGUUAAGAAAUUGUUGUUUAUUAGUAGAGUAUAGAACAAUGGUAACACUUU
Cinara cedri is the source of this 593-nucleotide non-coding RNA. Lineage: Eukaryota; Metazoa; Arthropoda; Insecta; Hemiptera; Aphididae. The record is from the annotation of a GenBank genome assembly.